CAGCCGCCGCGGUAAUACGAAGGGGGCUAGCGUUGCUCGGAAUCACUGGGCGUAAAGGGUGCGUAGGCGGUUUGGCAAGUCUUGUGUGAAAUCUAUGGGCUCAACCCAUAGCCUGCACGAGAAACUACCGGGCUUGAGUGAUGGAGAGGUGAGUGGAAUUUCCGGUGUAGCGGUGAAAUGCGUAGAUAUCGGAAGGAACACCUGUGGCGAAAGCGGCUCACUGGACAUUAACUGACGCUGAUGCACGAAAGCUAGGGGAGCAAACAGGAUUAGAGACCCCCGUAGUCCCUGUCUCUUAUAC
This 301-nucleotide ribosomal RNA is filed under the name uncultured bacterium. Its description in RNAcentral is "partial 16S ribosomal RNA". It matches the Rfam family "Bacterial small subunit ribosomal RNA", at positions 509 to 807 of the family's 1533-position model. The record is from RNAcentral.